UCUGAUCUCACCCCACCCUGUGGCCACAGGACCCUGCAGAUUCUUCGGAGAACCUGGAGGAGGAGGCCGUCAUCAUGAAAGACGUGCCUGACUGGAAGGUGGGCGAGUCUGUGUUCCACACCACGCGCUGGGUGCCGCCCCUCCUCGAAGAGUUGUACGGGCUGCGCACCAAGGAGGAGUUGGACAACGCCAGGUUCGGCUUCUCCUGGUACAUGUAGGGCCCGAGCCCACGCCCACAAUAAAGAAUCAUCAAA
Long non-coding RNA from Peromyscus leucopus (white-footed mouse), 254 nucleotides. RefSeq lists it as uncharacterized. The record is from RefSeq and is a predicted model, not a curated record. The transcript has 2 exons. Lineage: Eukaryota; Metazoa; Chordata; Mammalia; Rodentia; Cricetidae.